This 2499-nucleotide long non-coding RNA is filed under the name Paramuricea clavata. The record is from RNAcentral. Lineage: Eukaryota; Metazoa; Cnidaria; Anthozoa; Malacalcyonacea; Plexauridae.
GAUGACCAUUUAUGUUUUCUUUCCUGUGGCUGUAUUUUACUAUUUCAACAUGCCAAAUUUUUAUGAAGAAUAUGUACAGACAAGAAUGGUAAGACUUAAAUAAACUAAAUAUACUAAAUUUAGUAUUUGAUUUUAUUACAAGGUAAUCAUGUUUUUAAUAUGGUACAAAAGAAAUUAUUGAAGAAUAAUCCCAAUGAAAAUUAGUCUCGGUUAAAUUUAGCCAGAGUUAAAAUUACAUACGAUUACAUGUUGAUAACAGUGGAAGUGGUCACCCCCUUGCGAAAGCCUGCAUACUGUAUCGAGCAGUGUAUACUGAAAUUAUAUUGAUUUUUGACAUGAUUUAUAAUGGCAAUGAAGGGUACCUGUAUUAAGUAGGGUACAUUUGCGCGCAUUGCAGCUUAAUUGAUGAGUUAAUCGAAUGAAUUACAAUGCGCCCAUCGUUAUUCUUUUACUCCGUCUAUUAACACCAGACAAUUUUACUCGUCAAGGCGCACUAAUGUGUUAAUGUUGAAAGACAUACAAAGUUCCAGAGAAGAAUUUUGAAUUGUCUGACUUUUUGGAUUAGUUCACACUUUGGUCUUUGUUGACAUGUUGUUGAUGAAUGGGUCAGGGUUAAUAUUUGUUAUUUGGUACGUUUUAGGGACAAUUAUAUCCACCAAAAGAAAACAGCAAAGUGAGUGAGAAAAACUGACUUGAAUGUUAAUUAUAUUUACUACCCUUUCUGAUAGCGAGUCUGUUCAAUGAAAUAGGAGCAUACGUCCAAACUACACACCGGCUAGCACGUUUACAAUAUAUAUGAAAAGGACGACUAACACACACCUGCGUUUAAAUCCUUAUGCUUUUGAUUUUCUUCAGUAAUUCCCACCAAUUAACAUACUUUAGAACAAGAAUUGUCUUUUUCUUUGUGCUUGUUUCACGCCGGUUCAUAUGUGAUUUUUUUCAGAAUUAUUUUGUCCAGCUAAAAAAAGCUUAAGUUUUUUGCACUUAUCAUCUGCAAACAAUUUAUUUGGACUUUUUUUGUUCCUGCAAACAAUUUCUAUAACAGUAUAAGGAUUUCUCAUUCCCGUCCAAAAAAACUUGUAUUUGUGCUUAUUUCAUAGUAACCAUAUGCGCUAUUUGCUUAUUAAAAAAUAGAAACCUCCAAUGUCAAUUGAAGAACUAAAAGCUUACGAACGAAGGCUUCAAGGAAGGAAAUCUACAGAACGUGUUGAUGAAAGAUGACAAAGACUAUCAAGGAAAAACGUAGCCUGAUGACGGUUGCAGCUGCGCAGGCUAGGAAAAACGAUAAUCUCCAUGCAAACUAGUCUGCGAACCCAGACGUCCAUGGGCGUACCGGGCGGUUGGGGGUUUGGACAAACAAAGCCAGUCGGGCAAUAUUGGCUUAUUGUAAAAAUAAAUGGGACAAAUUCUGUCAAUUUUGUGGGAAAUUCUGUCAAUUUUGUGGGAAAUAUGCUAUCUAAUAGGAAUUUUUCGUAAUCACUCCUCCCCCCGUCGACAACAAUUUUGGAAAGUUUCUCCGGAAAAAUGUUUUUGACAACUCGGGCACAAUCCGAAAAAGUCGGGCAAAUUUCUUUCCGCCCCCCCCCCCCCUAUUUUUUUCUUCCCGUACGCCCAUGCAGACGUCUCAUUCUAUGAGCGUCGGAAAUGACGUCUGGGUUGGCAGACUACAUUCAAACCAGUGAGCUUCAUAUAUAUCUGGAGUGAGAACUCGAGUGGCAGCUAUUCGACGUCAGUUCCCUUUUCUGUUGUUCUUUUUCUACGCAGUUGCAGAAAAUUCGAAUUUUGACCUCGAUUUAAAUAAUAAUACUAUGGUUUUACGAACUGAUAACUUGUGUAGCGAUACGGUCCGUUAGAACAAAGUGGAAUUAGCUUAGGAAAAUGGUAUAAAAACUGUUUAAUUAAGACCUUCAUAGCUAUUGGACGUCAAUUUCCGCCAUCUUGGCUUCUACGAAAAACAUGGUUUUCGCCAAUUCUAUUUUCCUCCGUUUUUAUAUCCGCACGUAAAGGGAUAAAUUAGUGUCUAAAUACGAAACUUAAAAGGAUAGCAACAGCUUACAAUGCGAAUCAGUUCCAAAUGCGUGUUUACCGUAUUUCCUCUCAGUUUAGCCCCCCCCCCCUAUUCCAGGAGUGCUGAAAUACAAUAAGCCCCACCCUUGGUUUAACCCCCAUUCUCUAUUAGUUAAGUAAUUAUUAAGUCAUUCUCAAUAUAAACCUAUAUAGCUAAAUAUGAACACAAACGUUCUACAUAACGUCCACUGAUGAUGCUGUGCAUAUGGCUCAAUUAUAGUAAAUCGUAUGAAAAUUUCUCCGAAUGUUGUUCUAAUGAUUAUUCUGUAAUGUUAAGUUAAAAUAUUUAUCUAAAAGAACGUGAAAAUUUAUUUAGCCGCCACGGCCCAGACCCUUAUUUAGCCCCCUCCCCCUUCUAAUAAGCCGGGGUCCAGAAUCACCUUAGACUUGCUCCAAGUCUCUCUUUCAUUGUCAUAUAGUAUUGAUCCAGUA